UUGGGAUAAACUAGGAGCCUCCCUUGCAG
This 29-nucleotide non-coding RNA is filed under the name Mus musculus (house mouse). Lineage: Eukaryota; Metazoa; Chordata; Mammalia; Rodentia; Muridae. The record is from RNAcentral.